CGGGACGGGUGAGUAACGCGUGAGCAACCUGCCUUCGAGAGGGGAAGUAGCACCUGGAAACGGGUGGUAAUACCGCAUAAGCCGGGAAUACCGCAUGGUAUAACUGGAAAAGGAGCAAUCCGCUUGAAGAUGGGCUCGCGCCCGAUUAGAUAGUUGGUGAGGUAACGGCUCACCAAGUCGACGAUCGGUAGCCGGACUGAGAGGUUGAACGGCCACAUUGGGACUGAGACACGGCCCAG
RNAcentral lists this ribosomal RNA (239 nucleotides) under uncultured bacterium. RNAcentral's name for it is "partial 16S ribosomal RNA". It matches the Rfam family "Bacterial small subunit ribosomal RNA", at positions 100 to 334 of the family's 1533-position model. The record is from RNAcentral.